UGGGGAAUUUUGGACAAUGGGGGCAACCCUGAUCCAGCCAUCCCGCGUGUGCGAUGAAGGCCUUUGGGUUGUAAAGCACUUUUGGCAGGGAAGAAACAGCCUGGGCUAAUAUCCCGGGCGACUGACGGUACCUGCAGACUAAGCACCGGCUAACUACGUGCCAGCAGCCGCGGUAAUGCGUAGGGUGCAAGCGUUAAUCGGAAUUACUGGGCGUAAAGCGUGCGCAGGCGGUUCGGAAAGAAAGGUGUGAAAUCCCAGGGCUUAAUGUUGGAACUGCACUUUUAACUACCGGGCUAGAGUACGUCAGAGGGGGGUAGAAUUCCACGUGUAGCAGUGAAAUACGUAGAGAUGUGGAGGAAUACCGAUGGCGAAGGCAGCCCCCCGGGAUGAUACUGACGCUCACGCACGAAAGC
RNAcentral lists this ribosomal RNA (413 nucleotides) under uncultured bacterium. RNAcentral describes it as "bacterial SSU rRNA". It matches the Rfam family "Bacterial small subunit ribosomal RNA", at positions 355 to 760 of the family's 1533-position model. The record is from RNAcentral.